RNAcentral lists this non-coding RNA (890 nucleotides) under Astrohamma tuberculatum. The record is from RNAcentral. Lineage: Eukaryota; Metazoa; Echinodermata; Ophiuroidea; Euryalida; Gorgonocephalidae.
AAAGAACUUGGUUCUGAUUUUUAAAAUUAGAUAUAGAAAAAGUUAUAUAUGUAAGCUAUUUUAGCGAAACGGUGAGGAAAGUAUAUUGUUAAAAUAAUUUUUAAAAAAAAUUUAUUUUAUUUAAAUAUUAAUACUAAUUAUUUUUUAAAAAAAUAUAAUAAUUAUAAAAAUGCUUCACAUCUGCAGUAAUUAAUACUUAAACAAUAAUUGGAAGAUUAAUUAGGUUAGAUCUUAAUUGGGAAGACGAAGAUAUCGUGCCAGCAGUCGCGGUUAAACGAACCUUCUCUAUUUAAUUUAUUAGUAGCUUAGUGCAAUAAGAAUUUUACUAAAAAAGAUUUUUAAAAAGAAAAGUUUAGGAGUGAAAACCUAUUUUUUUUAGGAGAAUUAAAAUAAAGUUUGAUGUUGUUAAAUUAAAGGGGGAGACCUGGAUUAGAUACCCAGUUAUUCUUUAUUAAAACUGUGAAAUGCUGGUGGAGUAUAAAGAAUUUUUUUAAAUACAAAGAACUUGGCGGUUAUUUAUUUCUGAUCAGGGGAGCUUGCUUAAAGAAAAUGAUAAUCCACGUUAUACCUAACCUACUUUUGUAUUAUCAGUUUUUAUAUCAUCGUCAUUAAGUAUUCAUUGUGAGUUAGAAGACUAGGAAAACUAUAAUAAGAGUUAGAUGUCAGAUCGAGAUGAAGCUAAUAAGUAGGUGAAAGUGAGCUACAAUAAUUUUUAAUUAAAGUAUGGAGUUAAUAAUUAAAAAUAUUAAUAAAAAAGGACUUGAUAGUAAUAAAGUAGAAGAAAGAUUUUAUGAAGUUAGCUCUAGAUUUCGUACAUAUCGCCCGUCACCUGUGGGAUUAAACCUAGAGUAAGUCGUAACAUAGUAGGCGUACCGGAAGGUGUGGCCUAG